RNAcentral lists this non-coding RNA (202 nucleotides) under Chania multitudinisentens RB-25. RNAcentral's name for it is "GcvB RNA". It matches the Rfam family "GcvB RNA". Rfam says of the family: The gcvB gene encodes a small untranslated RNA involved in expression of the dipeptide and oligopeptide transport systems in Escherichia coli. The record is from Rfam by way of RNAcentral. Lineage: Bacteria; Pseudomonadati; Pseudomonadota; Gammaproteobacteria; Enterobacterales; Yersiniaceae.
ACUUCCCAGGCCGGAACGAAAAGGAAUUGGGUAUCGAAGAUACCGAUGAACUUUUGGCUUUGUGGUGGUGAUGUUGUGUUUGCAGAUUGUCCGGCAAUGCGGACAUGGUAGCUAAGCUACUGUUUUUUCACUUCCUGUACAUUUAUCCUGUCUGUCCAUAGUGAUUUUAUGCAGCACUGCAAAUUUUGCAGUGCUUUUUUUU